Molecule: transfer RNA, 74 nt
Filed under: Stegodyphus mimosarum
Lineage: Eukaryota; Metazoa; Arthropoda; Arachnida; Araneae; Eresidae
Rfam family: tRNA
About the family: Transfer RNA (tRNA) molecules are approximately 80 nucleotides in length. Their secondary structure includes four short double-helical elements and three loops (D, anti-codon, and T loops).
Source: Rfam by way of RNAcentral
GCCUUCGUGGUGUAGUGGUCAGCAGACUGGGCGCCGUAUUCCAGAGGCCCGUGGUUCGAGUCCCGGCGAAGGCG